UCCUGAACAACAACAAGAAGCCUGCGUGUUAUCCAGUUUGUACACAACGAUGGAGAAACUUAACAAAAGCAGUGGUCCACUGAAGAGACCAGCUACCUACUGUGAAUCUGGUCUUCCGAAGAGGUACAGAGGAAGCUGGAGGGGAGCAUGCGGUCCAAAGCAAUUCUCCAACAAUUGCAGAAACAGAUGGCAACCGCUGGUUUUUACCGUACCGUGGAACAGAUUGGCAACAAAUUAAAAAAAGUCAAGAAGGACUAUCGGGACCAAAAGCGAGACCUCGGACGGAGUGGUAGCGGUCGUCCGAAAACAAGUUCACAUUAUGACAUGCUAGACUCGGUCCUCGGGGACAGACCGACGAGUGGUUUUGGAUCUACGGUGAACUCACUUUCUCUCACGUCGAUGAUGUUGCAGGACGAGUCGCUGAAUGUGCAGAGCUCAUUUGAUGCCGAAAUAUCUGCACAAGCAGCUCUUCCCAGGAAUCUCUGGUGAACCUAAUCCAGCCAGUGGGCCGACACAAACAGGUUAAAAGGAAGCGGGAUUUAUCAUCUGGCCUUCUGGAGUAUCUGGAGAAAAGUGAGGACAGGGAGGAAAGGCUUCAGGAGCAGGGCCAGGCAUUGCUUAAGGAGCAGGGCCAGGCGAUGCUUAAGGAGCAGGGCCAGGCGAUGCUUCAGGAGGUGCAUGUGGCCAAUGCUGAGUGAGUUCCUACGAGUUUUCACCAGAAUCGAGCAGAACAGCCACUCAAUGCUUGGCAUGGUAGACAGGCUUGUGAAGGUGAUGGAGGCCAACAACAAAAGCUGACCAUAUUUUUUUUUUGUAUACACGUUCUUUUUUUGUAUACACAUUAUUAUUAUAGUAUAUUCGCCAAACUUUUUGGUGAAUUAUUGUCCAUACAUGUCUUUGAUUUGUACAAUAAACAAAAUUCAAAAGUCAUGUCUGAUCCAUGGAUUUUAUUGAAAAAACGGAUAGGCAUGUGUAUUUGAGUUAAGAAUAUAGUCUAAACCGUUUGGGUAUGCACUUUUUUUAUAAGAAUAUAGUCUAAACCGCAGAAAUGACUCUGGAAACGCUGCAGAUAGAGCCAUAAGAAAGGAAUGCAACUGAUUUAAUGUGUAAUCUUUUUAUAGGCAAC
Molecule: long non-coding RNA, 1126 nt
Organism: Gymnodraco acuticeps
Lineage: Eukaryota; Metazoa; Chordata; Actinopteri; Perciformes; Bathydraconidae
Exons: 3
Source: RefSeq, a predicted model, not a curated record